AUUGAACGCUGGCGGCAGGCUUAACACAUGCAAGUCGAGCGGUAUCAGAGAGAAGCUUGCUUCUCUGCUGACGAGCGGCGGACGGGUGAGUAAUGCCUAGGAAUCUGCCUAGUAGUGGGGGAUAACUAGCCGAAAGGUAAGCUAAUACCGCAUACGCCCUACGGGAGAAAGGAGAGGACCUUCGGGCCUUUCGCUAUUAGAUGAGCCUAGGUCGGAUUAGUUAGUUGGUGAGGUCAUGGCUCACCAAGACCGCGAUCCGUAACUGGUCUGAGAGGAUGAUCAGUCACACUGGAACGGAGACACGGUCCAGACUCCUACGGGAGGCAGCAGUGGGGAAUAUUGGACAAUGGGGGGAACCCUGAUCCAGCCAUGCCGCGUGUGUGAAGAAGGUCUUAGGAUUGUAAAGCACUUUAAGUUGGGAGGAAGAGCAGUUAACUAAUAUUUGACUGUUUUGACGUUACCGACAGAAUAAGCACCGGCUAACUUCGUGCCAGCCGCCGCCGUAA
Molecule: ribosomal RNA, 506 nt
Filed under: uncultured bacterium
Lineage: Bacteria
Description: partial 16S ribosomal RNA
Rfam family: Bacterial small subunit ribosomal RNA
Source: RNAcentral